This 1587-nucleotide long non-coding RNA is filed under the name Brachypodium distachyon (stiff brome). RNAcentral's name for it is "long non-coding RNA (BDIS_LNC005906)". The record is from RNAcentral. Lineage: Eukaryota; Viridiplantae; Streptophyta; Magnoliopsida; Poales; Poaceae.
AACGGCUGCGAAAAUGCCCUGAAGUUUUGGUUAGGAUCAUCUGCCAUCUGCAUGCCCAGCAAAUCCUCCAGGACGGAAUUUGGUACUUCCAGCCUUGAAGUGUUCACUCCAAUGUAUAGAACAACUUCAGAGUACCGGUAGCAGAUCAGUGCUUCGUGUUAUACUUUGUUACAGGUCAUGCUGCAUUUUCACACAACGUGGAAGAUUUUGUGCCUGCUGCUCCAAUAAUCCCUCCAAGUAUGGAUUGCUGGCAACAGUCCCUGCAGAUGCAAUUGGGCAGUCAAAGAAUUUAGAAUCUUCAAAACUCAAUACAGGAAACAGUAUCAAGUAAUGUUUGACGACAAACAGAAAACUCAAAACCAAAAUCAAAAUUGCCUCAGAAGAGAACUAUGAUCAACAGAAAGAGCUAUAUAUACUCUGACACAAAGAUAGAAUGGUACACUUCAGAAACAAAAAUCCUUUAGGCAGAAUCUCGUCUCUUCUUUUUCCCCCAACGUAAUCCUCGAAAGAGUUCAGAAUUCAGCCAAACAAACUUGCUCGAUCUACGAAGUAGUCCGCCGUAGUCCGUAGAGGACUUUCUUGAGAUAGGAUCAAAUUGACAGACAUAACAGCGUCGACAGUCAGUGUCUGUCAAUGCAUGCAAAACACAGGAAGUGCAAAACCCCCAUAACAAAUCACAAAAAAAAUCAACAACUCCAUGAAAAGAAUCAAAUCAACAAAGUAACCCAUGGACAAGGACCCAGCCAGUCUGCUCCUGCAGUUCAUAAGUCAUAUAGACAGAGACCUACUAAGAGAGAAACCUGUAGAAAUGAUUACGUAAAGCCAGACCUGAGCCAGACCAAUCAAAACCACGGGGCGCAGACACACGAACACAGACAUGCAUGCAGAGCGCCGUCAAGGAACAGACUUUCGAAGUCUAGAUUUUUCGUACCCAAGAUAUCUGAACGUGCAUGUUUGAUGUUUCCUACGAGAGAACGACAUCAAGAAAACGCUCGGAAAGGAAGAAGAGCUAGCCCCCGAUCCUACCAGAACGGCAGAACCCAAAUCAACCUGGAAACAAAGGCAAGAAUCCCAACAGAGGCACGGGUAACGGGACCAAAUUGCUGCCAAGGAACUUACAGGUCUAAUUAAAUCCGAUCUGGUUGCAGAGGAACAACCGGAGAAGCCAAACUCCGGCGUGGUUCCUGCGUGUCGCUUCCCAGAUGGUGUGUGUGUGCGCGUGGUGCUGGUGGUGGUAGUGUUAAAUGGUGCGGCCUUAGCUUUGUGCGCUCCAAUGGGAGGGAAGCCGAAAAGGCGGCGGCCCCGCCUCUCUCCAGUAUGUGGCUUCUCCCCUCCAAAAGCCGAAGUCGUGUGCCAGUUUAACAACUUGCGCGCAGAAAAAGGGUGGAGGAGAAAGAGAGAGGUGUGUGUGUGUGUGUGAUCUCUGUUGGAAGGAACUCAACAAGAUUUCAGGGCGGAGCCGGUAGAGGCAGUGGCUUCUUGUGAAAACAAAUGUCGUUUGCCGCUAUUGGUUUCCAUCUUAGGUUUCCCUCCCUUUUCGCUCUUUUUUUAGAAGGCCAGCAGAGAGAGGGAUCGCUACACGGUUGC